AUCUUACACUGUGUCCCAACUCAGAUUUGCUCCACUUCCAGUGGACCUGACAGACCUUACCCAUGCAGUGAGAAUUGGCAACUCCAAGCUCCUUCCCCAGGAACUACACUCAGCAUCUCAGCAUCAAGCUGCCAUGGCUGCGAAAGGUGUCUGUGAGCAUCUGGGCUUUAUCUCCAUAUAUUUUGUGCACCAAUUGGCAAGAGGUGUCCUAAGGCCUCCUUGCUGUUCCUGGAGCUCCCCAGAAGAGCUCAGGGCUGGAGCUCUUUGUUUUGUCUGCAUCUGGAUGGAUCUUCCUGAGGAUGAGAAAUGUUUGGAACUGGAAGGAACUGCAGUGGUCAGCUACAUAGACAUCGCUCCUAUAUGAGCGUUUAUGAUACAGCUCUCUGUGUUUGGAUAUAGCGAUCCUAAAAAGCAGCCUUGGCUUCAAGUUAAAGCAUCUGUGGAUGGAAAUGACCCAUCUUUCACCCUCAUGAAGCUUGUCUGUAAAGCAGACCAAAGGGAAGGGGGAAUUCCCACCCUGUCUCAUUACUGUCCAAGCCGACAUACUUCCCCUUCAGGAUGCUUUGAGAGAAGGAGGGACUGUCUGCUGCUGUCAGAGGGAUUUCAAAGAACACACUGUUCCCAGGCUUCAGAUCUCCCUGAUUGCUUCAUUGGUCUCUUAAGAUAACCAUAUGUUAUGUGCAAAGGGCAGCUUUAAAACAAAACAAAAUAGUCCCACCCUGUUUGGAAGCUUGUUGAUUCUAAAUGCUACACCACUGCGGGUAGCCCUCUGGGUUUAUUUAUUAGUGAGGGACACGGACAUGGAAGCUCUGCUGGCUUCCAUCCUUGUUCAUUUUAAAAAACGGCAGGCCCAAGGAGAGUUAACAAAAUUGUAUAUCUAAAAUGUUUGCACUGGAGUUCCUGUGGUGGCUCAAUGGUUAAUGAACCCGACUAGUAUCAUCGAGGAUGUAGGUUCGAUCCUUGGCCUUACUCAGUGGGUUAAGGAUCUGGCAUUGCCAUGAGCUGUAGUGUAGGUCUCAGACGCAGCUUAGAUCCCAAGUUGCUGUGGCUGUGGUGUAGGCCAGCAGCUACAGCUCUGCUUCGACCCCUAGCCUGGGAACCUCCAUAUGCUGCAGGUACAGCCCUAGAAAGACAAAAAGACAAAUAAUAAUAAUAAUAAUAAAAUGUUUGCACUGAAAAAGAUAAUCAUUUUUAGUGGACAAAUUCAGUGCAAUUUGUAUUAUUAAUUAUAUAAUUGUAAGACUUAUUUAGACAUUAAUUUAUAAAGCCCACUAGCAAUGGAAUAAAUACCCAUGGCACACAAAUUUAAAGCAGAAUGUCUGUCUGUCUAUCUAUCUAUCUAUCUAUCUAUGCUGAGCACUCUAUUCAAUCUGGGAUUCAUCAGUGAACAAAGCAUUCCGAACCUCAAGUAUAUACUCAGAUGGUCAGAGCAGUCUGCAGCCCAGCCCAGCUGCCAGCCAGAGAUGCGGAAGGGCAGUGGCUGCCUCUGCUCCCAGCCACCACUCCACACUUCUGCUCACAGGGCAGCAACAGACCCAGCUGGGUUCUGGGUCAUCCGUGUUCCCAGCACUGAUUCUGGAGCCUAAGAAAGAUGGAGUUGUGUUUUGCAGGCCGUGGAGCAGGGUCUCUGCCCUCUACACUCUCCAUGUCAACAGCACCCUCCUUCUAGAUCGUGGUGACCAAAAGAUGUCUCCAGACAUUGCUAAAUGUCACUCCGGGUGCAACAUCGCUGCCAGUGGAGGAAAAACCGUGAAUGAGAACAUCCUGGAGUCCUUGGGCAUGACUUCUGACAUGAAGCCCUCCUGGAUCACUCAGAUGGCUGCAUGUGACCUGAACCAGACCCCGUAGGUAUUUAUAAGCCUACCUGCACGAGGCUUUCUGUGGUCCUGAGUCUGAAGGAUGCUACAGAAAGCUGGGCUGCGCCGCAGAGGCCCUUCGGCAAAGGAAGAGCAGGAAUUUGUUCUCAAUAAAUAAUAGACUCUGGAUGGCAAGGCUCUAUCUGAGCCAAUGUGAAGAUGGUCAUUUGAUGACCUUAUGUUUCUAACAGUUUCUGGAGUCAAGGAACUUGGAGGGGGUGAGGGUUGGACUCUGAGCCACCCGUUGUUCUUGCUAAGUGUGGCUCACUCUAGGAGGCAAAAGCAUGAGAAUAUCAGUUCUCCAAUUUUCUUCAGCCCUCUGCUUGAGAAAAGAAUACCAAGUUCCAAGGAAAGACUUCUGGAUCAUUAGCAGAACGGGACUGACUCUGCUCUCCCUUUGUACUGUUAGCCCCCAGCUCACUCCUGUCCCUAGGAAAAGUUUCAUCAGGCUUGAGUCCCCACCAAAAUGUCCCAGUAUGCCAGUUUGACCAGACAGUUCGGAUUCCACAUGUACAACUCAACAGAGGACACAAAAAUUUAAUCCGAUAAGUGUAAAAUUGCAGCCCCUCAUAGUUGGGGGUUGGCCUGCCUUUCAGCUCAUGCAGCUCACAGCCACCAACCAGCAUAGAAAGAAGGGUGUGAAUGGCUAUAAAAGAGGAAGGUGACAGCAGCAUGUCUCAAAGUUCUGCAAGAGUUUUCAAAGGAAAAGGAAACUGAAAAAGGAAAGAAACACAGUCAACAUUUAUCCGUGUACUGUCAUCUUUUCAAUGAAUUUCUUUCCAUCCAAUUGCCACAGCGUGUAAGGGGCCAGAUAAGGCUUCACAGCGCUAGACUAGUUCCAUCUUGUGCAGAAAUGUUGAACUUGUACCUCUCUCUGGAACAUGCUCCUUUGGGGAGAAGUUUAGGGAGCAUGGGAUCUGGGUGCUGAGAUGAGGUCCAAUUCAUGGAGACAAGCAAGGACCUGGGAUGGGAAGAGGCCCAGAGGGCCUGCAUGAAUUAACACCUGGACCGGAUGGAGGAAAUGAUCCGGGUGGCAAAAGCCGCAGCAGAGAAGCAAGAUGCGGCAGUGAUGGGGCUUUCUACCGGGGUUCAUCCACACCAAAGGCUGAAGCUGGGAAAUACCUCUGCAUAUUUUACCAUGGGACCUUUAGUGCAAGACACCCACAUCUGGAUUAUGUGAGGCUGUGUGGAUUGUGCUGCUGUUGAUGGUGGAAGCAAACACUGGCUUUCAAACAUAGGAAAGACUUGAGAAGCUCUUUCACAUAAGACAGAAAAAAGACUAGUCAAAUACUUCUUUUCAGAUACCGUCCCUAAGGUUGACUACAAAUCAAAAUCAGAAUUGAAAUUGGAGUUCCCACUGUGGCACAAUGAGUUUGGUGGUGUCUCUAGAGUGCCAGGAUGAUCCCUGGCCCAGCACAGUGGGUUAAAGGAUCCAGUGUUGUCGCAGAUGUGGCUUGGAUCUGACCCCUGGCCCUGGAACUCCGUAUGCUGAGGGGUGGCUGAAAAAGAAGCAAAAUAAAACAAACAAAUAAAAUCAAAAUAGAAAUCUAAAUGUAAACUCAAAAUAGAAACUAGCAAAUAGAAAAUCUUCAAAAAGGCUGUUUUCUUAAAAUUUUAAAAUUCGGAGUUAAAUUGAGCACAUACAUGUUAGGCAUAAUCCACACAAAACUUGAAAAUAAGAUAUUAUAAAUUCUGUACUUAUUGAAGCUUUAAUUAUGAACAAAAUAAGAAAAUGAACAAGACAAUUGUUCUAGUCCAAUAGAGAACUUGAAUUUGGAUACAUCAUCAGAUGAAAUUCUUGCGACUGAAGAAUAUUCAAGAAUUCAUAUUCAAGAAUAGUCAACAUUCUUCAUUAAAUGAUAUGCAAAGAUGCUUAUUCAUAUCAACAUCACAACCCAGAAACAUCAAAUGCAACUCUGUGUGUUCCUUUAAAUGAUGAAAAAACAACAUGCAUGCCCUGCCAAUGGGAUGAGAAAGAUGAACUCUCUAGAGCUUUACUGUUUAUUAGAUGAUUAUCUUGGAAAAUAGCCCAUGUGGCUUUUUGACAGCGUGAGAAUGUUUCUUGCAAAACAUAUUCUGAUGCAAGUAAAUUAUUUUGAUUUUCCAUUGCCUGAAUAUCACAGAAAAUUUAACACUUCAUUUUAUAUCAAAAUUCAUUCAACUGGAAAAAAAAACUGUGGGAACUGGCUUUUAUAUUCUAAUUUCAAAGACAAAGUACUUUGUUCUUACUGUCAAAUGCAUCACAACCAGGUUUCAAGGUUAGCUUCAAAAUGAAGAUAUUUGCUGCUAAAAAAGCUUGGAGUCUCAAAAGACCACAAAAUGUCAAAUGUACAUACAUAUACAAACACAAAACAAAAUGUGCGAUUUCUAGAGCUUUUGAAACUUUAAACAACAAAAAUUGAUAGUAUUUGGCAAACAAAGUAACACUGAUAUAAGAUGUUAGCAUGAUGUGUUAAAAGAAUAAUAUAUAUUCUCUAUUUAGCCCAAGAUUUUCACAGCACAAACAGUAGAACAUUUACAGAGAGCAAUAGUAAAUUUCUAGUUUUAUUAGAAGUUAUUUAGCAAUUUGAUGCUAUGAUGAGUGAACAUGUAAGUGGAGUGAAAAAUGAAGAGGAAAUUCAAAAUAAGAGUUUAAAAGUCUGUACUUGUAAUAAUGUGGGAAAAUUAAUCAUCUCCCAAGUUAAAAAUCUAAUAAUACAAAUUCCAAUUGCACUGUAUAACAAACAAGUUCUUUUGAAAAAUAAUUUUUAUUGAACAUGUUUUCAAAUUACCCCUCCCCCCCAAAAACCCAACAAAAUUGAAAUUAAAGAUUGCUUAAUUUUUGUAUGUGUUGUAAAACAUGUAAGUUUGGAUUUUAGUGAAGAUACUUUAACAACUUUCUGUUUCUGUCUACACUGGCUGCUGUCCCUCCUUGUUCUCCGAGCGGACAGUACUCCUUUUGGAUCCUAGAUGCCAGUUAAAUAAAUUACAUUUUUGGGGGGUGGUUAAAGAAAUCUCACAAUAUUCAGUGUUAGACAUUGAGUUGAAAGAUGAGGCACAUCUAAGAUAAUGGCAUCAACAUAGUUGGUUUGAAAAACAAGUGCAUAAACUCGAAUUUUGGCCCAAAGUUGUGAUCAUUCUUUGUGCCACACAGUGCAUGAUUUGAAUUUGUCACUUGAAACUUCAGUCUGCUCUGUGUCAGUAGCUCAGUAGUGAAGACACUCUGUGGAACAACUAGAUCAAUAUACUAGGUAUUCUCUAGGUCUGCCUACCACGUAUAAGCUUACCAUUUCACUUAGAUACACAGAGAGAAUGUUAAAUACUGCGACAGCAACUCAAUUUCCUUUAAGCAAGAUACAUGAAGUACCCUAGAAAAGGAAUGCAAAAUAACAGACGAUUCCAAAGGGACAUCAAUCUUUGACAAAGAAAAGUGUUUGGUUAUUUGAUAUGAAGUGUUAUUUGCUACUAGUUAUGGUUAUUAUUUGAUGUGAAGUGUUAUUUGCUACUAAUUAUGUUAGCAAAAACUUACAGGGCAUUCAAACAGAUAUUUUUGAUUCGCUUAAAAAUAAUAGUAUAUAUUUUCUUUCAUUUUGAGAAAAAAAUUUGAUUGAAACUGCAUAGAAAAUAAACAACAAAAGUAACACUCCUAUAAAGGGAAAUGAGAAUGUUUGUUUCUCUAUGAAAAAGAUUCAUGUACCCAUAAUCUCUAAAUCUUUUUCUAUAGAGACUAUUUUCCAAACAAAUUAUAGAUUCAGGUAUAGUCUUGAAUGAAGAGUGUGGUCAAUGAAUUGAGUGAUCUGUUAUUGCUUCUUUUUUUAUUUUUUACUAAUAUUACAACAUUGACAUUUUUUUAAAAAGAAAACUUAAGUACUGUAUAGAUAUUGCCAUAAGAGACCAUGAAAGUUGUCUAAGUGGCAGUGACAUAUGAAAUGACAACAGUUUGUAAUAGAUCCUGUGAUUGCGAUAAUUUAUUAUAUGUAGCACCAUUAAGAUAAUUAAACAUCAUUU
This 5843-nucleotide long non-coding RNA is filed under the name Sus scrofa (pig). RNAcentral's name for it is "lncRNA (ENSSSCG00050073144.1)". Lineage: Eukaryota; Metazoa; Chordata; Mammalia; Artiodactyla; Suidae. The record is from RNAcentral.